CAAGGUUUCCGUAGGUGAACCUGCGGAAGGAUCAUUACAGAGUUCAUGCCCUCACGGGUAGAUCUCCCACCCUUGUGUAUUAUAUCAUAUGUUGCUUUGGCGGGUGCAAGCCCGCCAGAGGACCCAAACUCUGAGUUUAGUGUCGUCUGAGUACUAUAAAAUAGUUAAAACUUUCAACAACGGAUCUCUUGGUUCUGGCAUCGAUGAAGAACGCAGCGAAAUGCGAUAAGUAAUGUGAAUUGCAGAAUUCAGUGAAUCAUCGAAUCUUUGAACGCACAUUGCGCCCCUUGGUAUUCCGAGGGGCAUGCCUGUUCGAGCGUCAUUAUAACCAAUCCAGCCUGGCUGGGUCUUGGGCUCCGCCAACCGGCGGGCCUUAAAAUCAGUGGCGGUGCUGCCAGGCUCUAAGCGUAGUAAAUACCUCGCUAUAGGGUCCUGGUGGAGGCUUGCCAACAACCCCCAACUUCUUAGGUUGACCUCGGAUCAGGUAGGGAUA
This 493-nucleotide small RNA is filed under the name Trichopeziza mollissima. RNAcentral describes it as "eukaryotic LSU rRNA". The stretch from base 169 to 322 matches the Rfam family "5.8S ribosomal RNA". The record is from RNAcentral. Lineage: Eukaryota; Fungi; Ascomycota; Leotiomycetes; Helotiales; Tricladiaceae.